GAUGAACGCUAGCGAUAGGCCUAACACAUGCAAGUCGAGGGGCAGCAUAAGGAAGUAGCAAUACUUUCUGGUGGCGACCGGCGCACGGGUGAGUAACACGUAUGCAACCUGCCUUCAACAAGGGCAUAACCCGUUGAAAGACGGACUAAUACCCUAUAAUACAGGGGCCCCGCAUGGGGAUAUUUGUUAAAGAUUUAUCGGUUGAAGAUGGGCAUGCGUUCCAUUAGCUGGUUGGUGGGGUAACGGCCCACCAAGGCAACGAUGGAUAGGGGAACUGAGAGGUUUAUCCCCCACACUGGUACUGAGACACGGACCAGACUCCUACGGGAGGCAGCAGUGAGGAAUAUUGGUCAAUGGACGCAAGGUCUGAACCAGCCACGUCGCGUGAAGGAAGACGGCCCUACGGGUUGUAAACUUCUUUUGUAAGGGAAUAAAGUGUAGUACGCGUACUAUUUUGCAUGUACCUUACGAAUAAGGAUCGGCUAACUCCGUGCCAGCAGCCGCGGUAAAU
This 511-nucleotide ribosomal RNA is filed under the name uncultured bacterium. RNAcentral's name for it is "bacterial SSU rRNA". It matches the Rfam family "Bacterial small subunit ribosomal RNA", at positions 28 to 525 of the family's 1533-position model. The record is from RNAcentral.